Molecule: small RNA, 28 nt
Filed under: Bombyx mori (domestic silkworm)
Lineage: Eukaryota; Metazoa; Arthropoda; Insecta; Lepidoptera; Bombycidae
Description: ovarian small RNA-19768
Source: RNAcentral
UAAUGCUUCUGCGAGCGACAUGGGCCAC